RNAcentral lists this ribosomal RNA (233 nucleotides) under uncultured bacterium. Its description in RNAcentral is "partial 16S ribosomal RNA". It matches the Rfam family "Bacterial small subunit ribosomal RNA", at positions 118 to 350 of the family's 1533-position model. The record is from RNAcentral.
UGAGUAACCUGCCCUUCACUCUGGGAUAACUCCGGGAAACCGGGGCUAAUACUGGAUAUGACUCGAACAGGCAUCUGUUUCGGGUGGAAAGAUUUAUUGGUGGAGGAUGGACUCGCGGCCUAUCAGCUUGUUGGUGAGGUAAUGGCUCACCAAGGCGACGACGGGUAGCCGGCCUGAGAGGGCGAUCGGCCACACUGGGACUGAGACACGGCCCAGACUCCUACGGGGAGGCA